CUGGGAACUUCACUUACCCAGCACACGCGCGGCCUUCGGUGGCCUCGGCCAGACAACUUGAAGGAACUCUGCACACAAAGGGAGGAGGGCACUCAGGGCAGCCGGCACCCGGGGCCCAGCCCGAUGGCCUGGGGGACGGCCCCCGCGCCCCACGCCUGGCCCAUCCUGCCUGGGCCAGCGCAGCGCUGAACAGCACACACGGAGGCCGCUCCCUUCCCGCGAGACUUGGGCUCCAGCUCGGGAGGCACGGCAGGAGCGGCGGCCAGGCCAGUCCCCCCAGCUUCCGGCCCGGCGGCCCCCGAAAGCAGGCCGAGGCCCGGAAGGGACAACGUGCAGGGCUGCUGGAGCCCACCGCGGGCCUCACCACCCAGACGCGGCCUCAGCGGUGCUGCUCCUGCACUCCGGGCCUGUAAACAGGGAAUUACAUAAGUCCACCCCUCUUGUUUGGGAGCCAAAAGUACGAGCUUUCUCUCCCAGCCCUGGCAAUACCACCCUUCUCACACCGGGGUCGGCAUGGAGCACACUCCCUGCGCCUGACACCUGUGAGCUUAGCACCAAC
Molecule: long non-coding RNA, 559 nt
Filed under: Heterocephalus glaber (naked mole-rat)
Lineage: Eukaryota; Metazoa; Chordata; Mammalia; Rodentia; Bathyergidae
Description: lncRNA (ENSHGLG00100043501.1)
Source: RNAcentral